RNAcentral lists this ribosomal RNA (440 nucleotides) under uncultured bacterium. RNAcentral's name for it is "partial 16S ribosomal RNA". It matches the Rfam family "Bacterial small subunit ribosomal RNA", at positions 356 to 788 of the family's 1533-position model. The record is from RNAcentral.
UGGGAAUUUUGGACAAUGGGCGAAAGCCUGAUCCAGCAAUGCCGCGUGUGUGAAGAAGGCCUUCGGGUUGUAAAGCACUUUUGUCCGGAAAGAAAUCCUUGGCUCUAAUACAGUCGGGGGAUGACGGUACCGGAAGAAUAAGCACCGGCUAACUACGUGCCAGCAGCCGCGGUAAUACGUAGGGUGCAAGCGUUAAUCGGAAUUACUGGGCGUAAAGCGUGCGCAGGCGGUUUGCUAAGACCGAUGUGAAAUCCCCGGGCUCAACCUGGGAACUGCAUUGGUGACUGGCAGGCUAGAGUAUGGCAGAGGGGGGUAGAAUUCCACGUGUAGCAGUGAAAUGCGUAGAGAUGUGGAGGAAUACCGAUGGCGAAGGCAGCCCCCUGGGCCAAUACUGACGCUCAUGCACGAAAGCGUGGGGAGCAAACAGGAUUAGAUACCCU